RNAcentral lists this non-coding RNA (160 nucleotides) under Streptomyces sp. The record is from RNAcentral. Lineage: Bacteria; Bacillati; Actinomycetota; Actinomycetes; Kitasatosporales; Streptomycetaceae.
AAGAGGGAACCCGGUGGGAAUCCGGGACUGCCCCGCAGCGGUGAGCGGGAACGACCGCCGUCAACGAGCACUGGAGCCCCGCGGCUCCGGGAAGCGACGGCCGGUAGGAACGCCCGUGCCCGCCACCCGGCACGGGACGCGCCCGCGAGUCCGAAGACCU